This 409-nucleotide long non-coding RNA is filed under the name Manihot esculenta (cassava). Its description in RNAcentral is "long non-coding RNA (MESC_LNC006118)". Lineage: Eukaryota; Viridiplantae; Streptophyta; Magnoliopsida; Malpighiales; Euphorbiaceae. The record is from RNAcentral.
GCUUUUUCUCUGAUGAUUUAUCGCGUCUUCUCUCUGUAAUUAAAGUCUCAAACCUUCACGGCUUAGUUUGAUGUUUACUGCUGUUUAUGCUCACUUAUUUUGAUUUGUGUGUUUCUUAUUGUUGAUGGUUAUUCUGGUCUGACUUAUAUUUUCUUUUUAGGACAAUACAAAAAUUACAGGUGAAGCCGUGAUCAUUGUCCAUAAUAGCCGACAGAGAUGUGGUAGUGAUUUCAGUUCAUCUAGGUCUAGAGCAACGAUGGAGUUAGUGAUUCAGUGUGAAUUUGGUUUCUAUUUUUCAAAGCUUUGGUUUUAGCGACAUUUGGGAACUGAAUUUUGAUUUGGAUUUAGAAUUAUAAUUGGGUUUGAGUGAGCUUUCUUUAUUAUUGAUCCUUGUAAAUGAGUUGGGGAC